UACGUAGGGUGCGAGCGUUAAUCGGAAUUACUGGGCGUAAAGCGUGCGCAGGCGGUUAUGUAAGACAGGUGUGAAAUCCCUGGGCUCAACCCAGGAACUGCGUCCGAUACUGGAAGGCUUGAAUCCGGGAGAGGGAUGCGGAAUUCCAGGUGUAGCGGUGAAAUGCGUAGAUAUCUGGAGGAACACCGGUGGCGAAGGCGGCAUCCUGGACCGGUAUUGACGCUGAGGCGCGAAAGCCAGGGGAGCAAACGGG
RNAcentral lists this ribosomal RNA (253 nucleotides) under uncultured bacterium. RNAcentral's name for it is "partial 16S ribosomal RNA". It matches the Rfam family "Bacterial small subunit ribosomal RNA", at positions 524 to 776 of the family's 1533-position model. The record is from RNAcentral.